This 2016-nucleotide long non-coding RNA is filed under the name Sorghum bicolor (sorghum). RNAcentral describes it as "long non-coding RNA (SBIC_LNC013776)". The record is from RNAcentral. Lineage: Eukaryota; Viridiplantae; Streptophyta; Magnoliopsida; Poales; Poaceae.
ACUCCUUCUAGAACUAUUCCUAUGUAGCUAUGCUAUAAAACUAUGGAGCUCUAAUUGAGAUGGUGGCUCUAAGCUUCUCUGAAUUCUCUCCAUCUGAAUUCCUCAGAGAAUAAUGAAUUCCUCCUCUCCAGGGGGUCAGGGUUGUAUUUAUAGCUCCUAGAAAGCACCACAACCCUCAGAUCAAACCGACCUUGCUGGAUGGCUAAGAUUACUCCUCAAAGGCGGUGGAGGUAGGAUCCGCGAGGUUGCACAUGAUUGGUGCAGGUGGCCGGGUGGCUGCCCCUGAUAGGUGGGCGCCUGCCCCUGACUGGCUGCCAAGUGGCCCCACUUUGCAGCGUUGCCUCCUCGAGUCUUCUAGAGUAUUCCUGAGUUACCGAUGGGGUCUUCUCUCUAUGUAAAUUUGACAUGUGGACCUCCUUUCGUUCUUAUUCUAAUAACCCCCUGUAGAAAUAGACAAUCACCAAAACUUGUGGAAUUCUAUUAGGGAUAACCCCUAUAGCUAGAUGAUAUUCUGAUUUUAGUCCUUUCUCAUGCUAUAUUGACGGUUAAAAAGAGUACUUAUCUAUCGUCAACAAACUCCUCCAAGCUUACUUUUUGCUCGUCUCUGAGCAAAGAUAGUCUGAGUGAUGGAUCAGGAGUUACUACAAUACUUUCACGCCUCACAAGUACACAUGCGUUCAAUCAAGGACUCUCCUCCGGAUUAGAGUGAACUAUUCUAACUCAAGACUCACCAUAUUGCCUUUCACCAUGGGGCUUAUAGCUAUCACUUAGGUCUUGAGUAGUUGAAAGAUAGAACAGUUAAGUCAAGCACUAUUCUUCUCGCUCUUUGAUCAACUAUUAGUCUAGAGUUUUUGCAAGAUUUUCAAAUAAAACUUAGAGUUUUCUUGUAUGACUAUUUCAAGUCUCUCAUUUGUCGUAUCUUUGGAUCCUCUCCAAGGCAAGUGUAAAGUAUGUCUUCUCUCUUCUCUCAGAGUAUGUGGUAUUUGUAAGACUAAGGCAUAGUUGCCUUCUCUCUCUCUCACCCUACUUCUAAUUGGCUUAUGCGAAGCUCAUAGGUGGGAGAGACAAUUCAAACCUACUUGCAUGUAUUGCAUAGUUAAGCCAUGGAUCUAUAGAAACUAAUUAUACAAUCAAGUCAUAUGUGCAUGUGAGUGCAGUGAAUGAUAAGAAUGAUGGUGAUAAUGAGGGGUGAUGGUUGAUGGUGAAAAUCUAAUUCUACAAUUGCUCCUUGGUGAUAACAUACCUUCCUAAUCUGAAAAUAAGGACUUGGCUGUCUCUUUCUUUUCUUUUGGUACUUUUGUCCUCUUUCUUUUUUUCUCUUUUUUUUAACAGCCAAUCCUUUUAAUGCACUAAUAGCAUUAGAGAGUAUUAACUAAAAUAAAUGGAGCUUUAUUGGAUAAGUAGAAAAGGACAUAAUAACAAUGAAUAUUUUUGGGUGUCCUCUCCCAGUGUAGGAGUAGAACAUUUUCUGAGUAAUUGUGGAAUGUGUAUGGGUGAAUGAAUGUGUACUCCCAGGUUAGGAGCAGUAUAGGUGCGUGUCUCCAAGAUAGAAACAGCACAGAGUGUAGUGCGUAUAUGUGGGUGAUACUUCCAAGAACAGAAGUAGCACAUAGUGAAUUUGUAGUGGAUGUAAGUGGUUGCAUACUUCUGAGGACAAAAGUAGCUAAGAUCAAUGGAUAGAGAGCACAUAAUAUUGACUUUAACUGCAUUAAUAGUUUCUUAGGGUCAACAUAGCUUAACUACCCUCAAUGCUCAUAGGAUGAAAUAUAAGUGAGAGGCUUUCCUAAUCUAAUAAACAUGAGUAUUUGGCUGUGGUAGGAAUUUUGAACUCUCGUCAUAAAGAAACUCAUCAUGUAGCAAUUUUAAUAUUUUCAAAUUAAAUUCUCCAGAACUCUAGUAUCUCUAGGAGCAAGACUGAUAGCAGCUCAAAACCUUUUUCAUAUCAUAUCCGUCAACUACCUAGACUUACAUCAAGCAUUUGCUACCCACAAGUUUUAGGCUCAGAGCAAAAUCUUA